CCUGACAGCUUUCUUCUGCACUCAUUCCAGUUUCUUCUGGUGAAUAACGAGAUGAGGGUCUCACAUUAUACAAGCAUACUGCAUUAUAGGAAGUACCAGCGACUUGUAGGCCGCUAAUCGUAGUUUCGAUUUGUGGUUGUCAGCGAACAAUAACAGUAUCCUGGCUGCGCGGGAUGACAGCGAUAAUCGAGGAGCGUGGGACGUGAUGAAUGAUGAUAUUUCGACAUAGUUUCUCCAACUCUCUGCGACUGUAUGUUUAAAGGGCCAGGACGACACAAAUGCUGCAAAGUCAUUUGAAACUGCACUAACUGUUGCAAUUUGUUUGGGGGGAGGAACAGUUUGUGCAAAAUAGCGUGGGUUCAAGAAACACCAAGAACUGCGGCACAUUCUGAUGAAGCAGUAUGAAUGCUUUCUUGGCAUACACCAAAGGUACACACCUUCCCAAACAAAAACCCCUCUUUUCUGAAGGUUCCAUAGGAUUAAGUAUGGCAGCGCUUCCCAAACUCUGUUACCCUGCUUCCCAUCAAAACUUAUAAAAUUGAGCGCCGUGACCCCUCCUUUCUUGACAAUGCCACAAGCUUUUUGAUUCCAAUGCGUGAAACGUGUUACACAAAAUUGACGCUGAAGUUUUAUUCGAGUGAAUCAGCUGGGCUAGACAAAUGCUAGCAGGAAUGGCUCAUGACUCAAGUGACACUGUUUGUUAUAACAUAGUGUGUCGAAAUGAGGGAGGAGUUUCAACGCAGCAGCCCUCAGUUCCGGCUCGAUGUUGAGCAGCGACAUGUACAUUGUUUUCAUCGUCGCCACCGCAGUAAGCCAAGUCCGCAGAGGAGCGGACGCACGAUAACCGUAGCAGAUGAC
Long non-coding RNA from Ornithodoros turicata, 858 nucleotides. RefSeq lists it as uncharacterized. The record is from RefSeq and is a predicted model, not a curated record. The transcript is spliced from 3 exons. Lineage: Eukaryota; Metazoa; Arthropoda; Arachnida; Ixodida; Argasidae.